This 58-nucleotide ribosomal RNA is filed under the name Trichoderma pleuroticola. RNAcentral describes it as "partial 28S ribosomal RNA". Lineage: Eukaryota; Fungi; Ascomycota; Sordariomycetes; Hypocreales; Hypocreaceae. The record is from RNAcentral.
UGACCUCGGAUCAGGUAGGAAUACCCGCUGAACUUAUGUAUAUCAAUAAAGAGGAAGA